AGUCAUAUGCUUGUCUCAAAGAUUAAGCCAUGCAUGUCUCAGUACAAGCCAAAUUAAGGUGAAACCGCGAAAGGCUCAUUAAAUCAGUUAUGGUUCCUUAGAUCGUACCCACAAUUACUUGGAUAACUGUGGUAAUUCUAGAGCUAAUACAUGCAAACAGAGCUCCGACCGGAGACGGAAGGAGUGCUUUUAUUAGAUCAAAACCAAUCGGUGGCGGGUUCGCGCUCGUCAUCGUACAACUUGGUGACUCUGAAUAACUUUACGCUGAUCGCACGGUCUCGCACCGGCGACGCAUCUUUCAAAUGUCUGCCUUAUCAACUGUCGAUGGUAGGUUCUGCGCCUACCAUGGUCGUAACGGGUAACGGGGAAUCAGGGUUCGAUUCCGGAGAGGGAGCCUGAGAAACGGCUACCACAUCCAAGGAAGGCAGCAGGCGCGCAAAUUACCCACUCCCGGCACGGGGAGGUAGUGACGAAAAAUAACGAUACGGGACUCAUCCGAGGCCCCGUAAUCGGAAUGAGUACACUCUAAACCCUUUAACGAGGAUCAAUUGGAGGGCAAGUCUGGUGCCAGCAGCUGCGGUAAUUCCAGCUCCAAUAGCGUAUAUUAAAGUUGUUGCGGUUAAAAAGCUCGUAGUCGAAUUUGUGUCUCGCGCCGCCGGUUCAUCGUCCGCGGUGUUAACUGGCGUGUCUCGCGAGACGUCCUGCCGGUGGAUUUAGUCGUUGACCGAUUUCGACACGUGUAUGCUCCGGCGUGCGCGCGUUGGCGGUUUUAACGGCGGUCCAACUCAAUCCUGCCGCGGUGCUCUUCACUGAGUGUCGAGGUGGGCCGGCACGUUUACUUUGAACAAAUUAGAGUGCUUAAAGCAGGCUAAAAUUUCGCCUGAAUAUUGUGUGCAUGGAAUAAUGGAAUAGGACCUCGGUUCUAUUUUGUUGGUUUUCGGAACCCCGAGGUAAUGAUUAAUAGGAACGGAUGGGGGCAUUCGUAUUGCGACGUUAGAGGUGAAAUUCUUGGAUCGUCGCAAGACGAACGGAAGCGAAAGCAUUUGCCAAAAACGCUUUCAUUGAUCAAGAACGAAAGUUAGAGGUUCGAAGGCGAUCAGAUACCGCCCUAGUUCUAACCAUAAACGAUGCCAGCUAGCGAUCCGUCGACGUUCCUCCGAUGACUCGACGGGCAGCUUCCGGGAAACCAAAGCUUUUGGGUUCCGGGGGAAGUAUGGUUGCAAAGCUGAAACUUAAAGGAAUUGACGGAAGGGCACCACCAGGAGUGGAGCCUGCGGCUUAAUUUGACUCAACACGGGAAACCUCACCAGGCCCGGACACCGGAAGGAUUGACAGAUUGAGAGCUCUUUCUUGAUUCGGUGGGUGGUGGUGCAUGGCCGUUCUUAUCGUUUGGUCGUCGCGCGUCUCGUUUUCGGCGUGUCGCGCGCGGUUUUUACUGUCGGCGUACAAACAUAUCUUCUUAGAGGGACAGGCGGCUUCUAGCCGCACGAGAUUGAGCAAUAAYAGGUCAGUGAUGCCCUUAGAUGUUCUGGGCCGCACGCGCGCUACACUGAAGGAAUCAGCGUGUCCUCCCUGGCCGAGCGGCCCGGGUAACCCGCNUGAACCUCCUUCGUGCUAGGGAUUGGGGCUUGCAAUUGUUCCCCAUGAACNGAGGAAUNUCCCAGUAAGNCGCGAGUCAUAAGCUCGCGUUGAUUACGUCCCUGCCCUUUGUACACACCGCCCGUCGCUACUACCGAUUGAAUGAUUUAGUGAGGUCUUCGGAUCGACACGCGAUGGCGUUUCGGCGUCGUCGAUGUNGUAAGAGAAGAUGACCAAACUUGAUCAUUU
This 1827-nucleotide ribosomal RNA is filed under the name Polytus mellerborgi (small banana weevil). Its description in RNAcentral is "SSU rRNA". Lineage: Eukaryota; Metazoa; Arthropoda; Insecta; Coleoptera; Curculionidae. The record is from RNAcentral.